GGGCCGGUAGUUCAUCGGUAGAACGCCUCAUUCGCAUUGAGGAAGUAGUGGGUUCAAUUCCCAUCCGGUCCACCA
RNAcentral lists this transfer RNA (75 nucleotides) under Candidatus Berkelbacteria bacterium. Its description in RNAcentral is "tRNA-Ala". It matches the Rfam family "tRNA". Rfam says of the family: Transfer RNA (tRNA) molecules are approximately 80 nucleotides in length. Their secondary structure includes four short double-helical elements and three loops (D, anti-codon, and T loops). The record is from RNAcentral. Lineage: Bacteria; Candidatus Berkelbacteria.